AAUGGGAAAAGAAUGUGAAUAGAUAUUUCUCCAAAAAGGAUAUGCAAAUUGCCAAUAAGCACAUAAAAAAUACCCAACAUCAUUAGCCCCCCGAAAAUGCAACUCAAUGUCACAAUGAGCUACACCCUCCAACCAAGAUGACUAUAAUGAAAAAGGCAACAAAAUUGCUGGUAGAAAUGUAAAAUGGUGCAGCCACUUUGGAAAACAAUUUGGGCAGAGCUCCUCAAGAUGUUAAAUACAUUAAUAUGACCCAGCAAUUCCACUCCUAGCUAUAUACCCAAAAGAACUGAAAACACAUGUUCGUUAAAAAACAAACAAAAAAUCUGUUCCUGAAUGUUGAGAGCAGUAUGGACAAUCACCAAAAAGUGUCCAUCAACUGAUGAAUAAAAGACUAUGUAGCAUACAAGGGAAUAUACCAAACCAUUGAAAGAAAUCAAAUACAAAUAUUAUAACAUGGAUAAAACUUUUUUUUUUUUUUAAGUAAGCUCUACACUCAACAUGGGACUUGAACUCACAACCCUGAGAUCAAGAGCUGCAUGCUCUACCUACCAAUACAGGUGGCCCCAACACAGAUAAAUCUUAAAAACACUGUGCUAAGUGAAAUAAGUCAGACAAAAAAGUCACAUGUUAUAUGAUUCUAUUUAUGAGACAUUUCCA
Leopardus geoffroyi (Geoffroy's cat) is the source of this 657-nucleotide long non-coding RNA. RefSeq lists it as uncharacterized. The record is from RefSeq and is a predicted model, not a curated record. The transcript has 2 exons. NCBI's taxonomy places the organism in Eukaryota, Metazoa, Chordata, Mammalia, Carnivora, Felidae.